GACGAACGCUGGCGGCGUGCCUAAUACAUGCAAGUAGAACGCUGAAGAGAGGAGCUUGCUCUUCUUGGAUGAGUUGCGAACGGGUGAGUAACGCGUAGGUAACCUGCCUUGUAGCGGGGGAUAACUAUUGGAAACGAUAGCUAAUACCGCAUAACAAUGGAUGACACAUGUCAUUUAUUUGAAAGGGGCAAUUGCUCCACUACAAGAUGGACCUGCGUUGUAUUAGCUAGUAGGUGAGGUAAUGGCUCACCUAGGCGACGAUACAUAGCCGACCUGAGAGGGUGAUCGGCCACACUGGGACUGAGACACGGCCCAGACUCCUACGGGAGGCAGCAGUAGGGAAUCUUCGGCAAAGGGGCAACCCUGACCGAGCAACGCCGCGUGAGUGAAGAAGGUUUUCGGAUCGUAAAGCUCUGUUGUAAGUCAAGAACGGGUGUGAGAGUGGAAAGUUCACACUGUGACGGUAGCUUACCAGAAAGGGACGGCUAACUACGUG
This 496-nucleotide ribosomal RNA is filed under the name uncultured bacterium. RNAcentral describes it as "partial 16S ribosomal RNA". It matches the Rfam family "Bacterial small subunit ribosomal RNA", at positions 28 to 507 of the family's 1533-position model. The record is from RNAcentral.